CGAACGCUAGCGGCGUGCCUAACACAUGCAAGUCGAGCGAGAAAGCGGGGGCAACCCCGUAAGUAAAGCGGCGCACGGGUGAGUAACGCGUGGAUAAUCUACCUUCGAGUGUGGAACAACCUGCCGAAAGGCGGGCUAAUACCGCAUAAGACCACGGAGGGAAUCUUCCGGGGUUAAAGGCGGGGACCCGUAAGGGCCUGUCGCUUGAGGAUGAGUCCGCGUCCCAUCAGCUUGUUGGCGAGGUAACGGCUCACCAAGGCUAAGACGGGUAGCUGGUCUGAGAGGAUGAUCAGCCACACUGGCACUGAAACACGGGCCAGACUCCUACGGGAGGCAGCAGUGGGGAAUCUUGCGCAAUGGGCGAAAGCCUGACGCAGCGACGCCGCGUGAGGGAAGAAGGCUUUCGGGUCGUAAACCUCUGUCGUGGGGGAAGAAAGUUCCGGUGAUUAACACCUAUCGGGAUUGACGGUACCCCAGGAGGAAGCAUCGGCUAACUACGUGCCAGCAGCCGCGGUAAUACGUAGAUGCAAGCGUUGCUCGGAAUUACUGGGUGUAAAGCGCGCGCAGUGGCCUUGUAAGUCAGUGGUGAAAUCCCCCGGCUCAACCGGGGAAUUGCCUCUGAAACCGCAGGGCUUGAGUAUGGGGAGGAGGAAGGCGGAAUUCCUGGUGUAGCGGUGAAAUGCGUAGAUAUCAGGAGGAACAUCGGUGGCGAAGGCGGCCUUCUGGACCAAUACUGACACUGAGGCGCGAAAGCGUGGGUAGCAAACAGGAUUAGAUACCCUGGUAGUCCACGCCCUAAACGAUGGGCACUAGGUGUGGGGACCGUAUGGUUUCUGUGCCGAAGCUAACGCAUUAAGUGCCCCACCUGGGGAGUACGGCCGCAAGGUUGAAACUCAAAGGAAUUGACGGGGGCCCGCACAAGCGGUGGAGCAUGUGGUUUAAUUCGACGCAACGCGAAAAACCUUACCUGGGCUUGACAUCCGGAGAAUCCCCUGGAAACAGGGGAGUGCCCUUCGGGGAACUCCGAGACAGGUGCUGCAUGGCUGUCGUCAGCUCGUGCCGUGAGGUGUUGGGUUAAGUCCCGCAACGAGCGCAACCCUUAUCCUUAGUUGCCAGCGGGUUAAGCCGGGCACUCUAAGGAAACUGCCAGCGUUAAGCUGGAGGAAGGUGGGGAUGACGUCAAGUCAUCAUGGCCUUUAUGUCCAGGGCUACACACGUGCUACAAUGGUCGGUACAAAGGGUCGCCAACCCGCGAGGGGGAGCUAAUCCCAAAAAACCGGCCUCAGUUGGGAUCGCAGUCUGCAACUCGGCUGCGUGAACCUGGAAUCGCUAGUAAUCGCGCAUCACGCACGGCGCGGUGAAUACGUUCCCGGCGCCUUGUACACACC
RNAcentral lists this ribosomal RNA (1388 nucleotides) under uncultured bacterium. RNAcentral's name for it is "16S ribosomal RNA". It matches the Rfam family "Bacterial small subunit ribosomal RNA", at positions 30 to 1391 of the family's 1533-position model. The record is from RNAcentral.